GAUGAAGAACGCAGCGAAAUGCGAUAAGUAAUGUGAAUUGCAGAAUUCAGUGAAUCAUCGAAUCUUUGAACGCACAUUGCGCCCAUCAGUAUUCUGUUGGGCAUGCCUGUCCGAGCGUCAUUUCAACCCUCAGGGCCCGUUCGCGGGAACUGGUGUUGGGGAUCGGCCUCCCCCCGGAGGCCGGCCCCGAAAUGCAGUGGCGGCUCUACCGCGAUCUCCUCUGUGUAGUAGCGAUACCUCGCAGCUGGAUAGUGGUGGUGCCACGCCGUAAAAUCCCAACUUUACCAAGGUUGACCUCGGAUCAGGUAGGAAUACCCGCUGACCUUAAGCAUAUCAAUAAGCGGAGGA
RNAcentral lists this unclassified non-coding RNA (348 nucleotides) under soil metagenome. RNAcentral describes it as "partial contains 5.8S ribosomal RNA, internal transcribed spacer 2, and large subunit ribosomal RNA". The stretch from base 1 to 120 matches the Rfam family "5.8S ribosomal RNA", at positions 35 to 154 of the family's 154-position model. The record is from RNAcentral.